Lethenteron reissneri (Far Eastern brook lamprey) is the source of this 79-nucleotide small nucleolar RNA. RefSeq annotates it as small nucleolar RNA MBII-202. The record is from RefSeq and is a predicted model, not a curated record. NCBI's taxonomy places the organism in Eukaryota, Metazoa, Chordata, Hyperoartia, Petromyzontiformes, Petromyzontidae.
UGAUGACAUUCUCCGGAAUCUCUGUACAUCUGUUGAUGAUACCAUCGAACCCUUUUGUCUGACAGCAGUAAAACCCACC